This 254-nucleotide ribosomal RNA is filed under the name uncultured bacterium. Its description in RNAcentral is "partial 16S ribosomal RNA". It matches the Rfam family "Bacterial small subunit ribosomal RNA", at positions 524 to 776 of the family's 1533-position model. The record is from RNAcentral.
UACGUAGGGGGCGAGCGUUGUCCGGAUUUAUUGGGCGUAAAGAGCUCGUAGGCGGUUUGGUAAGUCGGAUGUGAAAUCUCCAGGCUCAACCUGGAGGGGUCAUUCGAUACUGCCAUGACUAGAGGUCGGUAGGGGUGUGUGGAAUUCCUGGUGGAGCGGUGAAAUGCGCAGAUAUCAGGAGGAACACCCGUAGCGAAGGCGGCACACUGGGCCGGUACUGACGCUGAGACGCGAAAGCGUGGGGAGCGAACAGG